CCCUUAGAUGUUCUGGGCCGCACGCGCGCUACACUGUUCGACGCAGCGAGUCUUAACCUUGACCGAAAGGUUUGGGUAAUCUUCAGCAAAGUCGAACGUGAUGGGGAUCGAUCAUUGCAAUUAUUGAUCGUGAACGAGGAAUUCCUAGUAAGUGCAAGUCAUCAGCUUGCGCUGAUUACGUCCCUGCCCUUUGUACACACCGCCCGUCGCUACUACCGAUUGAAUGGUUUAGUGAGAGCUCUGGAUUGACGCUGGCUAGGGGGCGACCCUUGGCCAGACUGUUGAGAAACUGCUCAAACUUGAUCAUUUAGAGGAAGUAAAAGUCGUAACA
RNAcentral lists this ribosomal RNA (331 nucleotides) under uncultured eukaryote. RNAcentral describes it as "partial 18S ribosomal RNA". It matches the Rfam family "Eukaryotic small subunit ribosomal RNA", at positions 1470 to 1796 of the family's 1831-position model. The record is from RNAcentral.